CCUACGGGAGGCAGCAGUGGGGAAUUUUGCGCAAUGGGGGCAACCCUGACGCAGCAACGCCGCGUGAGUGAUGAAGGCCUUCGGGUCGUAAAGCUCUGUCAGAGGGGAAGAAAUGCAGGUGGUGAACAACCAUUCUGUUUAACGGUACCCUCAAAGGAAGCACCGGCUAACUCCGUGCCAGCAGCCGCGGUAAUACGGAGGGUGCGAGCGUUGUUCGGAAUUAUUGGGCGUAAAGCGCGUGUAGGCGGUUUGUUAAGUCGGAUGUGAAAGCCCCGGGCUCAACCUGGGAAGUGCAUUGGAUACUGGCAGACUUGAGUACGGGAGAGGAGAGUGGAAUUCCCAGUGUAGGAGUAAAAUUCGUAGAUAUCGGGAGGAACACCAGUGGCGAAGGCGGCUCUCUGGACCGAUACUGACACUGAGACGCGAAAGCGUGGGGAGCAAACAGGAUUAGAUCCCCUUGUAGU
RNAcentral lists this ribosomal RNA (464 nucleotides) under uncultured Desulfuromonadaceae bacterium. RNAcentral's name for it is "partial 16S ribosomal RNA". It matches the Rfam family "Bacterial small subunit ribosomal RNA", at positions 338 to 794 of the family's 1533-position model. Lineage: Bacteria; Pseudomonadati; Thermodesulfobacteriota; Desulfuromonadia; Desulfuromonadales; Desulfuromonadaceae. The record is from RNAcentral.